This is an RNA transcript of Homo sapiens (human), 1978 nucleotides long. It is a transcript of the gene named creatine kinase, mitochondrial 1A, with no coding region annotated. Lineage: Eukaryota; Metazoa; Chordata; Mammalia; Primates; Hominidae. The transcript has 9 exons. The record is from RefSeq and is marked reviewed.
AGACGCGCGAGUCUCAGGUCCCGCUAAUUACCUGGCGGGUGCUGCCCACCCCUGCCCUCGCGCACCUAGCGCGGUGGCAGGCGGGAAGGCGGGGCCUGGGGGAGCCCCACCCCUGGAGACUGCGGCUGGGGCCUCCCUCUCCUCCGCCCGCCCGCCUGCCACUAGCUCAUUGCGCCUCUCCUGCAGUCUGAUUGGCACCGGCUCCCAUUCCGGCUCCAGCCUCCAAUCCGACCCCCAUUUCGGCUGCAGCCUCGGACCUAGCUCCGGCCCUCGGUCUAUCCGGUUGCAUCCUCCCUCCCUGUUCCGGAUCUUAUCUUGCGCCAGCGCCUACUCCAGGAUCCCGUAGCCAGACCUCAAGCCAUGGCUGGUCCCUUCUCCCGUCUGCUGUCCGCCCGCCCGGGACUCAGGCUCCUGGCUUUGGCCGGAGCGGGGUCUCUAGCCGCUGGGUUUCUGCUCCGACCGGAACCUGUACGAGCUGCCAGUGAACGACGGAGGCUGUAUCCCCCGAGGCUUUUCCCCUCCUCCAUCCGUAGUGUUGUGUCAUGGGAGGAAAGAACUGAGCAGAUCUGAAGAAACUGAGCUGGCCAGCCAGAGGCAACUAGAACUAUUAGGAAAGCAUAGACUCUGAAAGUCCCUAAAGAGAUUACCAAGGUUUACCCUCUUUCUAAUUCCCCCUCCUCCCGCGGAGCAAAGCCAGACAUGGCCAACUGGACAGCUCCCAGGUAACUGCACUAGGUCUAGGCGUCUGUGCCCUCCCUCCAUGGUUACUGGGUACCCCCUCCCCAGCGCUGAGUACCCAGACCUCCGAAAGCACAACAACUGCAUGGCCAGUCACCUGACCCCAGCAGUCUAUGCACGGCUCUGCGACAAGACCACACCCACUGGUUGGACGCUAGAUCAGUGUAUCCAGACUGGCGUGGACAACCCUGGCCACCCCUUCAUCAAGACUGUGGGCAUGGUGGCUGGAGAUGAGGAGACCUAUGAGGUAUUUGCUGACCUGUUUGACCCUGUGAUCCAAGAGCGACACAAUGGAUAUGACCCCCGGACAAUGAAGCACACCACGGAUCUAGAUGCCAGUAAAUCAGAACUGGCCGAAGCAUCCGAGGACUCAGUCUGCCUCCAGCUUGCACUCGAGCAGAGCGACGAGAGGUGGAACGUGUUGUGGUGGAUGCACUGAGUGGCCUGAAGGGUGACCUGGCUGGACGUUACUAUAGGCUCAGUGAGAUGACAGAGGCUGAACAGCAGCAGCUUAUUGAUGACCACUUUCUGUUUGAUAAGCCUGUGUCCCCGUUGCUGACUGCAGCAGGAAUGGCUCGAGACUGGCCAGAUGCUCGUGGAAUUUGGCACAACAAUGAGAAGAGCUUCCUGAUCUGGGUGAAUGAGGAGGAUCAUACACGGGUGAUCUCCAUGGAGAAGGGUGGUAACAUGAAGAGAGUGUUUGAAAGAUUCUGCCGAGGCCUCAAAGAGGUGGAGAGACUUAUCCAAGAACGUGGCUGGGAGUUCAUGUGGAAUGAGCGUUUGGGAUACAUCUUGACCUGUCCAUCUAACCUGGGCACUGGACUUCGGGCAGGAGUGCACAUCAAACUGCCCCUGCUAAGCAAAGAUAGCCGCUUCCCAAAGAUCCUGGAGAACCUAAGACUCCAAAAGCGUGGUACUGGAGGAGUGGACACUGCUGCCACAGGCGGUGUCUUUGAUAUUUCUAAUUUGGACCGACUAGGCAAAUCAGAGGUGGAGCUGGUGCAACUGGUCAUCGAUGGAGUAAACUAUUUGAUUGAUUGUGAACGGCGUCUGGAGAGAGGCCAGGAUAUCCGCAUCCCCACACCUGUCAUCCACACCAAGCAUUAACUCCCCAUCGCCAGCUGAUGACUCAAGAUUCCAAGGAGUUCUGCUCAUUCUAAUGAUGGCCCAUUCUACUUGCUCUGGACCUGCCCUCGCAUCCCCUGCCUCCAUCCUAGUAAAGACUCCUUGCUAUGCUGCA